This 1365-nucleotide ribosomal RNA is filed under the name uncultured bacterium. RNAcentral describes it as "bacterial SSU rRNA". It matches the Rfam family "Bacterial small subunit ribosomal RNA". The record is from RNAcentral.
GAGUUUGAUCCUGGCUCAGAAUCAACGCUGGCGGCGUGCCUAACACAUGCAAGUCGAACGCGAAAGUCCCGCAAGGGAUAAGUAGAGUGGCAAACGGGUGAGUAACGCGUGGGUGACCUGCCUUCGAGCGGGGGAUAACGUUCCGAAAGGGACGCUAAUACCGCAUAACAUCCUGCCUUUGAAGAGGUGGAGAUCAAAGCCAGGGCUUCGCAAGAACCUGGCACUUGAAGAGGGGCCCGCGUCUGAUUAGCUAGUUGGUGAGGUAACGGCUCACCAAGGCGACGAUCAGUAUCCGGCCUGAGAGGGCGGACGGACACACUGGGACUGAGACACGGCCCAGACUCCUACGGGAGGCAGCAGUGGGGAUAUUGCACAAUGGACGAAAGUCUGAUGCAGCAACGCCGCGUGCACGAUGAAGGCCUUCGGGUCGUAAAGUGCUUUUCCGGGAGAUGAGGAAGGACAGUACCCCGGGAAUAAGGUACGGCUAACUACGUGCCAGCAGCCGCGGUAAAACGUAGGUACCGAGCGUUAUCCGGAUUCACUGGGCGUAAAGCGCGUGCAGGUGGUUUGGUAAGUCGGGCAUGAAAACUCUUGGCUCAACUAAGAGGCGCUGUCCGAUACUGCUGAACUUGAGGGUGUGAGAGGGAGGUGGAAUUCCGCAUGUAGUGGUGAAAUGCGUAGAUAUGCGGAGGAACACCAGUGGCGAAGGCGGCCUCCUGGCACACUCCUGACACUCAUACGCGAAAGCUAGGGGAGCGAACGGGAUUAGAAACCCCGGUAGUCCUAGCCGUAAACGAUGAUUACUAGGUGUAAGUGGUAUCAAGCCCACUUGUGCCGAAGCUAACGCGAUAAGUAAUCCGCCUGGGGACUACGAUCGCAAGAUUAAAACUCAAAGGAAUUGACGGGGGCCCGCACAAGCAGCGGAGCGUGUGGUUUAAUUCGAGGCUACGCGAAGAACCUUACCCAGGUUUGACAUGUAAGUAGUAGUGAAGCGAAAGCGGAACGAUCCUUCGGGAAGCUUACACAGGUGAUGCAUGGCUGUCGUCAGCUCGUGCCGUGAGGUGUUUGGUUAAGUCCAGUAACGAGCGCAACCCUUAGGGCCAGUUACAAGUGUCUGGCGCGACUGCCGGUCUUAAGCCGGAGGAAGGUGGGGAUGACGUCAAGUCAGCAUGUCCUUUAUAUCUGGGGCUACACACACGCUACAAUGGGCGGUACAAUGGGUCGCCAACCCGCGAGGGGGAGCCAAUCCUAAAAAACCGUCCUCAGUUCAGAUCGCAGGCUGCAACUCGCCUGCGUGAAGUCGGAGUUGCUAGUAAAUGCAGGACAGCUAUACUGCAUUGAUACGUUCCCGGGCCUUGCACACAC